Molecule: ribosomal RNA, 405 nt
Filed under: uncultured bacterium
Lineage: Bacteria
Description: partial 16S ribosomal RNA
Rfam family: Bacterial small subunit ribosomal RNA
Source: RNAcentral
GAUGAACGCUGGCGGCAUGCCUAAUACAUGCAAGUCGAGCGAAGCGGGGAUGGGUGCGUAACACGUCGAGAACCUCCUAUAUGAAUGGGAUAACUUCGGGAAACCGGUGCUAAAACGGCUCCUGUUAGCUGGAUCCGGGCUGCAUUAGCUAGUUGGUAAGGUAACGGCUUACCAAGGCAACGAUGCAUAGCAGACCUGAGAGUGUGAUCGGCCACACUGGAACUGAGACACGGUCCAGACUCCUACGGGAGGCAGCAGUAGGGAAUCUUCCGCAAUGGGCGAAAGCCUGACGGAGCAACGCCGCGUGAGUGAUGAAGGUCUUCGGAUCGUAAAACUCUGUUAUUAGGGAAGCGGUACCUAAUCAGAAAGCCACGGCUAACUACGUGCCAGCAGCCGCGGUAAUUC